Molecule: ribosomal RNA, 497 nt
Filed under: uncultured bacterium
Lineage: Bacteria
Description: partial 16S ribosomal RNA
Rfam family: Bacterial small subunit ribosomal RNA
Source: RNAcentral
GAUGAACGCUGGCGGCGUGCCUAAUACAUGCAAGUCGAGCGAACAGAUGAGGAGCUUGCUCCUCUGACGUUAGCGGCGGACGGGUGAGUAACACGUGGAUAACCUACCUAUAAGACUGGGAUAACUUCGGGAAACCGGAGCUAAUACCGGAUAAUAUAUUGAACCGCAGGGUUCAAUAGUGAAAGACGGUUUUGCUGUCACUUAGAGAUGGAUCCGCGCCGCAUUAGCUAGUUGGUAAGGGAACGGCUUACCAAGGCAACGAUGCGUAGCCGAGCUGAGAGGGUGAUCGGCCACACUGGAACUGAGACACGGUCCAGACUCCUACGGGAGGCAGCAGUAGGGAAUCUUCCGCAAUGGGCGAAAGCCUGACGGAGCAACGCCGCGUGAGUGAUGAAGGUCUUCGGAUCGUAAAGCUCUGUUAUUAGGGAAGAACAAAUGUGUAAGUAACUAUGCACGUCUUGACGGUACCUAAUCAGAAAGCCACGGCUAACUACGUG